This is a long non-coding RNA of Uranotaenia lowii, 667 nucleotides long. RefSeq lists it as uncharacterized. Lineage: Eukaryota; Metazoa; Arthropoda; Insecta; Diptera; Culicidae. The transcript has 2 exons. The record is from RefSeq and is a predicted model, not a curated record.
GAGUGUUCAUUUGUAUAGGUUUCAAAUUUAAACGGAAGCGAGUUCAAUUUAUACAUUUUGAACUUAAGAUUUAGUCGAUUUAGUUUUUUCUAAAUUACGGUAGCCUCAAAGUUACAACUAACUGUUAUGCGUUUUUACCUAGUUUCACAAGUAUAUACAUAGUUUUGUUUUGAUUUGUGAAUUUAAAGUAUUCUAUUUGUUACUUUGUGUAGCGCCCCGCUAUGAGUUCCGAUAAUGCAUUCGACAGUGGUAAACGACGACGGAUGCCUGGAACACCGAAAACGCCUGUUUCAAGGGAGAAGGAACGGAUCGCCGACCGGAAGCUGCAACGCAGCUUACUGAGGGAGUGCGGAUAUGACGAAGCAACGAUUGCUGGCGCUCUGCGUGCGCUGGACAUCCGGGAGCAACAGGAAUAUUUCUUCAACCAGACGUCUUCACCUGCCAUUCGCCAAGAAUCGAAAAAGGUUUGCUCGUUACCGAAACCCUGACCUAUGUACAAGUAUCAUGGAUCUGAACUGAGUUUUUUUUUAUAUUUGAGAAGUAAGUACCUGUGUUCCCAUCGAGAGACAAAAAAUAUAUGUAUUGACGUUUUGAAAUUUGAAAGGCUCAGUUAGACGCAACUCAUUUGAACAUAGAGAAUAAACCCAGUUCGUCCCCGUUUUCCGCA